AUGGGAGAGGAGGAGAGGACAGGAGAAUUAAUUGUAUUAGAAGGCUCAGGAGGUCAUCUUGCUGCAAGGAAUGUUAAGCAGAGAGCUUCAGCUGGAUUAUUACGGAAAAGGAACCAAGAUAAGAGACCUUGUCACAGCCCUUUGAAAACAGGGGUGGAAUGGGUCAUGGAGGAAGAUAUAACAGUGUGGGGAGAAAACAAUGAAGCAACGAACUGCUGAAGGGAGCAGUGCUGAUGCUGUAGCUGAAAGUGGCUGAAGGAGGCUAGUGGCAGUGUGAACAGAAAGCUUCUGAAAAGACAGCACUGAGAGGUGAGCUGGAAAUCUUGGUCAUGUAGAGAUUUCUGAUCGGGUCCCCAAGCAUUUUGAAGUAUGGGGGGGGAAGAGGGAACUGAGGCAGGAAGCUGCCUUUAUGGGCCCUUAUAGGCUUCAGUGUCAGUGUGAAACUAGAACACAUUUAAAUUAUUUUUAAAUUAAGCCUUAAAAAUGUACAUUUGAAGCUCUAAAAAGCUUCAGAGAGUGAAGAUGUAAAAAUGCUGGAUGAAACUGUGUGGGUGUGUUUCAGCAGCAUCAUAUUCCUAAGAAGCAAACUAUAAAUGGCAAGGAUGGUGUUCUGGGCAGAAACCUGUCCCCGGUGGAUGUUUCACACUUCUCAGGAGGCAUGUCCACGCUAGAGUCUUUUCCUGCAGAUAAACGGAAGCACUCUCUUCCCUACCCCCCCCAAAAAAAACAAACCAAAACAAAAGGAAAUACAAAAUUAUUGGAGUAGUAAGAUGCUGUCCUGCUCCCUGUGUGACAACCAAGUUGUUAGGGCACUU
RNAcentral lists this long non-coding RNA (815 nucleotides) under Anas platyrhynchos platyrhynchos (common mallard). RNAcentral describes it as "lncRNA (ENSAPLG00000020711.1)". The record is from RNAcentral. Lineage: Eukaryota; Metazoa; Chordata; Aves; Anseriformes; Anatidae.